RNAcentral lists this ribosomal RNA (424 nucleotides) under uncultured archaeon. RNAcentral describes it as "partial 16S ribosomal RNA". It matches the Rfam family "Archaeal small subunit ribosomal RNA", at positions 323 to 746 of the family's 1478-position model. The record is from RNAcentral.
CUACGGGUGGCUGCAGUCGCGAAAACUUUACAAUGCGCGCAAGCGUGAUAAGGGAAUUCCGAGUGCUUAGGUUUUUGACUUAGGCUUUUAACCAGAGCAAAAAUCUGGUAGAAUAAGUGGUGGGCAAGACCGGUGCCAGCCGCCGCGGUAACCCCGGCGCCACAAGUGGGAAUCACUAUUAUUGGGUCUAAAGCACCCGUAGCCGGCAAUGUAAAUGCCCUGUGAAAUAGUCAGGCUUAACCUGACUGCGUGCAGGGUAGACUGCAAUGCUUGAGACCGGGAGAGGUCAACAGUAUUCCUCGGGGAACGGUAAAAUGUUAUAAUCCGAGGAGGACUACCGAUGGCGAAGGCAGUUGGCCAGAACGGAUCUGACGGUCAGGGGUGAAAGCUAGGGUAGCGAUCGGGAUUAGAUACCCCUGUAGUC